UGACAACCUAAUUAGAAAAACGAAAGAACAAGGGAAAAGUGAGCAACAAUUCUGGAAUGGUGCAUUUUGAUGGUCUCUCUCCUUCACCUUGACGAGCGUGCAUGGACGAAAGAAUAGAUGACGUUUGCAGUUAACCCUCCACAUCAGAAAAAAUUCAGAGAAUUCAGUUGCUUUAUUAUCUCUAAGGAAACAUGUUUGAAGUGCAGCGUACUCUACUUUCCUUCUUGAAUCUCGAAACAUUUUUUCAAAGGUUGUACAGAACACAAGGAGUGCAUGUUCGGUUUGCCCUGAGCCCAACAGGUUACCUGCAUCUCGGAGGCCUCCGUACAGCUCUGUGCAACAUGAUGCAACUAUUCUUUGGCUCGAGAAAACCAAGGGUAUUCUAUUCUGCCCUUGGAAGACACGCACUAAACAGGAAUCAUACCAGAUGCUGCCGGUAACCUCCAAGAGGAUCCAUACUGGACUGAAAUCAUCCCCCACAAAGACUCGACAAGGGGAGGACCCGCAGGCUCCUACUUUCUAUCAAAGCGUCUCGAAUUAUACAA
RNAcentral lists this unclassified non-coding RNA (545 nucleotides) under Athalia rosae (coleseed sawfly). Its description in RNAcentral is "misc RNA ENSAEAG00005011129.1". The record is from RNAcentral. Lineage: Eukaryota; Metazoa; Arthropoda; Insecta; Hymenoptera; Athaliidae.